Molecule: ribosomal RNA, 497 nt
Filed under: uncultured bacterium
Lineage: Bacteria
Description: partial 16S ribosomal RNA
Rfam family: Bacterial small subunit ribosomal RNA
Source: RNAcentral
GAUGAACGCUGGCGGCGUGCCUAAUACAUGCAAGUAGAACGCUGAAGCUUGGUGCUUGCACCGAGCGGAUGAGUUGCGAACGGGUGAGUAACGCGUAGGUAACCUGCCUCUUAGCGGGGGAUAACUAUUGGAAACGAUAGCUAAUACCGCAUAAAAGUCGAUAUCGCAUGAUAUUGAUUUGAAAGGUGCAAAUGCAUCACUAAGAGAUGGACCUGCGUUGUAUUAGCUAGUUGGUGAGGUAACGGCUCACCAAGGCGACGAUACAUAGCCGACCUGAGAGGGUGAUCGGGCACACUGGGACUGAGACACGGCCCAGACUCCUACGGGAGGCAGCAGUAGGGAAUCUUCGGCAAUGGGGGCAACCCUGACCGGGCAACGCCGCGUGAGUGAAGAAGGGUUUCGGAUCGUAAAGCUCUGUUGUAAGAGAAGAACGAGUGUGAGAGUGGAAAGUUCACACUGUGACGGUAACUUACCAGAAAGGGACGGCUAACUACGUG